CCUACGGGCGGCAGCAGUUGGGAAUAUUGCUCAAUGGACGAAAGUCUGAAGCAGCCACGUAGCGUGAGGGAUGACUGCCCUAUGAGUGUUAAACUUCUUUUAUAGAGGAAUAAGACGAUGCAGGUAUGCCUUUUUGCAUGUACUUUAUGACUAAGGAUCGGCUAACUCCGUGCCAGCAGCGGCGGUAAUACGGAGGUGCCGAGCGUUAUCCGGAUUUGUUGGGUGUAACGGGAGCGUAGACGGGUUGUUAAGUCAGGUGUGAAAUCUUGCGGCUCAACCGGAAAAUUGCAAUUGAUACUGGCAGUCUUGAGUACAGGAGAGGUAGGCGGAAUUCGUGGUGUAGCGGUGAAAUGCUUAGAUAUCACGAAGAACACCGAUGGCGAAGGCAGCUUACUAAACUGUGACUGACACUGAUGCUCGAAAGUGUGGGUAGCAAACAGGAUUAGAUACCCCAGUAGUC
This 460-nucleotide ribosomal RNA is filed under the name uncultured bacterium. Its description in RNAcentral is "partial 16S ribosomal RNA". It matches the Rfam family "Bacterial small subunit ribosomal RNA", at positions 338 to 795 of the family's 1533-position model. The record is from RNAcentral.